RNAcentral lists this ribosomal RNA (514 nucleotides) under uncultured bacterium. Its description in RNAcentral is "bacterial SSU rRNA". It matches the Rfam family "Bacterial small subunit ribosomal RNA", at positions 241 to 746 of the family's 1533-position model. The record is from RNAcentral.
UUAGCUAGUUGGUGAGGUAACGGCUCACCAAGGCAACGAUGCGUAGCCGACCUGAGAGGGUGAUCGGCCACACUGGGACUGAGACACGGCCCAGACUCCUACGGGAGGCAGCAGUAGGGAAUCUUCCGCAAUGGACGAAAGUCUGACGGAGCAACGCCGCGUGAGUGAUGAAGGCUUUCGGGUCGUAAAACUCUGUUGUUAGGGAAGAACAAGUGCUAGUUGAAUAAGCUGGCACCUUGACGGUACCUAACCAGAAAGCCACGGCUAACUACGUGCCAGCAGCCGCGGUAAUACGUAGGUGGCAAGCGUUAUCCGGAAUUAUUGGGCGUAAAGCGCGCGCAGGUGGUUUCUUAAGUCUGAUGUGAAAGCCCACGGCUCAACCGUGGAGGGUCAUUGGAAACUGGGAGACUUGAGUGCAGAAGAGGAAAGUGGAAUUCCAUGUGUAGCGGUGAAAUGCGUAGAGAUAUGGAGGAACACCAGUGGCGAAGGCGACUUUCUGGUCUGUAACUGACAA